AUUUUUAUUUAUUUUUCUCUUCCUUCCCCUUCCCGUUCUCCCCUCCUCCCUUCCUCACCUGCACCCCCCUUCGUUCUUCCCUCUGUUUCUUUUUGUAUGUAUAUGUCAUCAGCAGCACCAUUAGUUCAUUAGAACACAACAAGACUCUUAGAAUUGAAUGAACACUACAAGAUUUUUAAUGGUAUUCUUCGGUAACCGAAGGAAUUUUCUGGCAAUAACAGUGGAAUUGUUGGUGGUAAGGAGAAGAGGUGGUGGUGUAAGAAAAAAAAUGAAGAUAAAGUCAAUAGUCUAUUUUCCUAUAUGGCUUAGUAAUGAUGUGGCAUCCUACGUGUAGGAGAUUGUAUAAAACUCAUAGUAGUCUUCUAUCAUAAGCGUUUAUUAUACAUAAUUUGAACGAGUGUAAGUGUUCAAUUGGCAAAAUGCUAGUUUGGGGGCCGGCAUGACAAAG
This 448-nucleotide long non-coding RNA is filed under the name Nicotiana benthamiana. RNAcentral's name for it is "long non-coding RNA (NBEN_LNC040228)". The record is from RNAcentral. Lineage: Eukaryota; Viridiplantae; Streptophyta; Magnoliopsida; Solanales; Solanaceae.